UACAGAGGGUGCAAGCGUUGUUCGGAAUCAUUGGGCGUAAAGGGCGUGUAGGCGGUCUGUUAAGUCUGAUGUGAAAGCCCACGGCUCAACCGUGGAGGGUCAUUGGAAACUGGGGGACUUGAGUGCAGGAGAGAAGAGUGGAAUUCCACGUGUAGCGGUGAAAUGCGUAGAGAUGUGGAGGAACACCAGUGGCGAAGGCGACUCUUUGGCCUGUAACUGACGCUGAGGCGCGAAAGCGUGGGGAGCAAACAGG
Molecule: ribosomal RNA, 253 nt
Filed under: uncultured bacterium
Lineage: Bacteria
Description: partial 16S ribosomal RNA
Rfam family: Bacterial small subunit ribosomal RNA
Source: RNAcentral